This is a long non-coding RNA of Centruroides sculpturatus (bark scorpion), 440 nucleotides long. RefSeq lists it as uncharacterized. NCBI's taxonomy places the organism in Eukaryota, Metazoa, Arthropoda, Arachnida, Scorpiones, Buthidae. The transcript has 3 exons. The record is from RefSeq and is a predicted model, not a curated record.
AUGUACGAUAAGUAACCCUUCGACCUUCUUAUGUUUGAUCUGAACAUAUUCGCCACUAAACACCCACGUUUUAUACUGGAAGAUGGCUAAAGCGAUCGUUCGCUUCUCAUUGGUUGCGUCGUGUCAUGUGGUAUUUAGAAUGGUAAUGAGACGAAUUAUUGUGUCUUUGUUUCAUCUUGACGUAACGCUAUUUGAGAAGAAUAAAAGAUAAGCAUUUCAGAAGAAUCUUGAUUUGGUUCAUCGACCCAACAGUUCAUCAUCAAUUCCAUUCGGAGUUAGAACAAGCAAUGAAUGACGAACAUUCAUAAGCUCGUCACGAUGUAUAGAUCUAAUUCAUACAAGAAGUUAAUUGAAAGACGUUAAUACAAGAAUAUGUUAUUUUUGUGAUGUAAUAAAUCCCUGAUAACAUGUAAUAAACAAAUUUGAGAAAUAAAGAUAAU